RNAcentral lists this ribosomal RNA (373 nucleotides) under Hypsirhynchus scalaris. RNAcentral describes it as "partial 16S ribosomal RNA". It matches the Rfam family "Bacterial large subunit ribosomal RNA", at positions 1970 to 2557 of the family's 2925-position model. Lineage: Eukaryota; Metazoa; Chordata; Lepidosauria; Squamata; Dipsadidae. The record is from RNAcentral.
UGUCUAUUAAUUGUAGACCAGUAUGAAAGGCAAAAUGAGGGUUUAACUGUCUCUUAUAAUAAAUCAAUUAAACUGAUCUUCCAGUAAAAAAGCUGGCAUAUCCCCAUAAGACCAGAAGACCCUGUGAAGCUUAAACUAAACUAUUAAACCCCUUAAUAACUACUUUCGGUUGGGGCGACCUUGGAAAAAAAAAGAACUUCCAAACACAGUGACUCUAACCCACACAUCCAGGCCUACAAGCCUAUAAACGACCCAGCACAGCUGACAAUUGAACCAAGUUACUCCAGGGAUAACAGCGCCAUCUUCUUUAAAAGUCCAUAUCAAAAAGAAGGUUUACGACCUCGAUGUUGGAUCAGGACAUCCUAAUGGUGCA